AGUGAACGCUGGCGGCAGGCCUAACACAUGCAAGUCGAGCGGCAGCGCGGGUGUAGCAAUACAUCUGGCGGCGAGCGGCGGACGGGUGAGGAAUACAUCGGAAUUUACCCAAUCGUGGGGGAUAACGUAGGGAAACUUACGCUAAUACCGCAUGAACUGGAGACAGCAAAGCGGCGGACCGAAAGGCGUCGCGCGGUUGGAUGAGCCGAUGCCGGAUUAGCAGUUGGCGGGGUAAAGGCCCACCAAGGCGACGAUCCGUAGCUGGUCUGAGGGGAUGAUCAGCCACACUGGAACUGAGACACGGUCCAGACUCCUACGGGAGGCAGCAGGUGGGGAAUAUUGGACAAUGGGCGCAAGCCUGAUCCAGCCAUGCCGCGUGUGUGAAGAA
This 388-nucleotide ribosomal RNA is filed under the name uncultured bacterium. RNAcentral's name for it is "bacterial SSU rRNA". It matches the Rfam family "Bacterial small subunit ribosomal RNA", at positions 30 to 412 of the family's 1533-position model. The record is from RNAcentral.